AUCCAGACUCCUACGGGAGGCAGCAGUGGGGGAUAUUGCACAAUGGGGGGAACCCUGAUGCAGCGACGCCGCGUGGGUGAAGGAGUAUUUCGGUAUGUAAAGCCCUAUCGGCAGGGAAGAAGCAAGACGGUACCUGAAGAAGAAGCCCCGGCUAACUACGUGCCAGCAGCCGCGGUAAUACGUAGGGGGCAAGCGUUAUCCGGAUUUACUGGGUGUAAAGGGGGCGCAGACGGCGAUGCAAGCCAGGAGUGAAAGCCCGGGGCCCAACCCCGGGACUGCUCUUGGAACUGCGUGGCUGGAGUGCAGGAGGGGCAGGCGGAAUUCCUGGUGUAGCGGUGAAAUGCGUAGAUAUCAGGAGGAACACCGGUGGCGAAGGCGGCCUGCUGGACUGCAACUGACGUUGAGGCCCGAAAGCGUGGGGAGCAAACAGGAUUAGAUACCCGCGUA
RNAcentral lists this ribosomal RNA (447 nucleotides) under uncultured bacterium. RNAcentral's name for it is "bacterial SSU rRNA". It matches the Rfam family "Bacterial small subunit ribosomal RNA", at positions 329 to 792 of the family's 1533-position model. The record is from RNAcentral.